CCUACGGGAGGCUGCAGUGAGGAAUAUUGGUCAAUGGACGCAAGUCUGAACCAGCCAAGUAGCGUGAAGGAUGACUGCCCUCCGGGUUGUAAACUGCUUUUAUUUGGGAAUAAAAUGUGGCUCGUGCGCCUCUUUUUGUAUGUACUAUCAGAAAGAGUACGGUCUAAUUCCGUGCCAGCAGCCGCGGUAAUACGGAAGCUCCGGGCGUUAUCCGGAUUUAUUGUGUUUAAAGGGAGCGUAGGGCGGUUUUUAAGUCAGGUGGGAAAGUCCGCGGCUCAACCGUAAAAGUGCAUUUGAUACUGGCGGUCUUGAGUGCAGUUGGGGCAGCCGGAAUUCAUGGUGUAGCGGUGAAAUGCGUAGAUAUCACGAAGAACUCCGAUUGCGAAGGCAAGUGACU
This 397-nucleotide ribosomal RNA is filed under the name uncultured bacterium. Its description in RNAcentral is "partial 16S ribosomal RNA". It matches the Rfam family "Bacterial small subunit ribosomal RNA", at positions 338 to 730 of the family's 1533-position model. The record is from RNAcentral.